RNAcentral lists this ribosomal RNA (354 nucleotides) under uncultured Hydrogenophaga sp. Its description in RNAcentral is "bacterial SSU rRNA". It matches the Rfam family "Bacterial small subunit ribosomal RNA", at positions 439 to 790 of the family's 1533-position model. Lineage: Bacteria; Pseudomonadati; Pseudomonadota; Betaproteobacteria; Burkholderiales; Comamonadaceae. The record is from RNAcentral.
AACGAAACGGUCCUGGUUAAAACCUGGGGCCCCUGACUGUACCGUAAGAAUAAGCACCGGCUAACUACGUGCCAGCAGCCGCGGUAAUACGUAGGGUGCAAGCGUUAAUCGGAAUUACUGGGCGUAAAGCGUGCGCAGGCGGUUUUGUAAGACAGGCGUGAAAUCCCCGGGCUUAACCUGGGAAUGGCGUUUGUGACUGCAAAGCUGGAGUGCGGCAGAGGGGGAUGGAAUUCCGCGUGUAGCAGUGAAAUGCGUAGAUAUGCGGAGGAACACCGAUGGCGAAGGCAAUCCCCUGGGCCUGCACUGACGCUCAUGCACGAAAGCGUGGGGAGCAAACAGGAUUAGAUACCCUGG